RNAcentral lists this transfer RNA (67 nucleotides) under Paramphistomum leydeni. RNAcentral describes it as "tRNA-Phe". Lineage: Eukaryota; Metazoa; Platyhelminthes; Trematoda; Plagiorchiida; Paramphistomidae. The record is from RNAcentral.
UUUCUCUCUAGCUUAUAUAUAAGAGUGUUAGUUUGAAGAGCUGAAGGUACAGGUAUGUGGGAGGAAG